RNAcentral lists this ribosomal RNA (376 nucleotides) under uncultured Legionella sp. RNAcentral describes it as "bacterial SSU rRNA". It matches the Rfam family "Bacterial small subunit ribosomal RNA", at positions 283 to 651 of the family's 1533-position model. Lineage: Bacteria; Pseudomonadati; Pseudomonadota; Gammaproteobacteria; Legionellales; Legionellaceae. The record is from RNAcentral.
GUAGCUGGUCUGAGAGGAUGACCAGCCACACUGGAACUGAGACACGGUCCAGACUCCUACGGGAGGCAGCAGUGGGGAAUAUUGGACAAUGGGGGCAACCCUGAUCCAGCAAUGCCGCGUGUGUGAAGAAGGCCUGAGGGUUGUAAAGCACUUUCAGUGGGGAGGAGGAUUGAUUGGUUAAGAGCUGAUUAAUUGGACGUUACCCACAGAAGAAGCACCGGCUAACUCCGUGCCAGCAGCCGCGGUAAUACGGAGGGUGCAAGCGUUAAUCGGAAUUACUGGGCGUAAAGGGUGCGUAGGUGGUUUAWUAAGUUAUCUGUGAAAUCCCCGGGCUCAACCUGGGMAGGUCAGAUAAUACUGGUUGACUCGAGUMUGG